GGGGUAACCAUGACACAUUUUUAUWUUUAUCUCCAUAUCGUUUUGCCCAUAUACCUUUUUUUUUGCAAAAGGUUAGAACUGCAAGCUCCACAUAUGGAUAUUCCCUAAAUUUACACACAAUACCCAUUAUUAUCAGAACAUUAGGCUACCAACAAUGCAUUAUCUUGAUACAUGUAUUUUAGACAAAUAUAGACAACAGUCCUACUUCACUAGGCAAAAAUACAAAAUAUUCAGUACAAAUACCCAGCACCGGGUAGAAAGAGAGGGGUGUGUGCUUCCCUAGCGACAGCUAUUGUAAAUAAUCAAAGGAAAAUGGCGACCGGGUAGGUCUGGUUGCUAUUGCAACCUUGUCAAAAGGUUGUUACCGUCAAUUUCCUCCUAUUUAAUUCCAGAAAUGGUCAGCAGGCCACAGUCAAGUAAGGCGUGCUGAUGAUGUCUCUGAUCUGGAAGUACUAUGCUGACCCAGUGACGGUUCUGCCCAGUAAGUGGCUUUUCUCCUCUAGAGCGAAUGGUGGCCUUCCCAUCUGGAGUAGCAGAUGGUGUUGGAAUCCCAUGGCGGCUCGUUGUUUGUAACAAGGUAGUGGCUAUAAUGAUCCAAGCAGUGGCUUGACAGCCUGAACGUUACUGUCUACGCUGUGAGACCAAAUUAUGCAAUUGUAUACUCUGGGCCUUGAUAUUUUGUUCAUUUUUUUGUGUUGAAUGUUUUUGAGAAACUGCACUGUUACAUUUUAAUAAAUCAUCAGGAUUGUUUUGUAGCAUUUUCUUUCUUUACCAAUCCAUUCCUCGUCAUGAAACUACAUCAGACUUCUCAAAGAUGUCUUAUGAACUAAGUCUGGCUUAAUAAUGGCUACAAUUUGUUCCUUUUCUAAAUUAUUCAAGCCAUUUCACUCUUUUACCUACAUGCAACAGUGUUCUGCUGUGCAUCUUUGUUUGUCGGUUGCCUACUUUAUAACCCUCUUCCAGAAUUAUUAUUAUUUUGACAUAUCAAUAAAAACCUGCAAAACAUUA
Molecule: long non-coding RNA, 1008 nt
Organism: Salvelinus sp. IW2-2015
Lineage: Eukaryota; Metazoa; Chordata; Actinopteri; Salmoniformes; Salmonidae
Source: RefSeq, a predicted model, not a curated record